UACAGAGGUCUCAAGCGUUGUUCGGAUUCAUUGGGCGUAAAGGGUGCGUAGGUGGCGGGGUAAGUCAGGUGUGAAAUCUCGGAGCUCAACUCCGAAACUGCACUUGAUACUGCCUUGCUCGAGUACUGGAGAGGAGAUUGGAAUUUACGGUGUAGCAGUGAAAUGCGUAGAUAUCGUAAGGAAGACCAGUGGCGAAGGCGAGUCUCUGGACAGCAACUGACGCUGAGGCACGAAGGCCAGGGGAGCAAACGGG
This 253-nucleotide ribosomal RNA is filed under the name uncultured bacterium. Its description in RNAcentral is "partial 16S ribosomal RNA". It matches the Rfam family "Bacterial small subunit ribosomal RNA", at positions 524 to 776 of the family's 1533-position model. The record is from RNAcentral.